Long non-coding RNA from Portunus trituberculatus (swimming crab), 1880 nucleotides. RefSeq lists it as uncharacterized. Lineage: Eukaryota; Metazoa; Arthropoda; Malacostraca; Decapoda; Portunidae. The transcript is spliced from 2 exons. The record is from RefSeq and is a predicted model, not a curated record.
UGUGUGUGUGUGUGUGUGUGUGUGUGUGUGUGUGUGUGUGUGUGUGUGUGUGUGUGUGUGUGUGUGUGUGUGUGGUAAAAAAAAAAAAACGGCCACCUGUGAUAUGUGUGUGCGUGUACGUGUACGUGUGCGCGUACGUGAGAGAUAGUGUGCGUGUACGUGUACGUGUGCGUGUGCGCGUGCGUGCAUAUGUAGUGGCGGGCGCCGGUUGUCACCUUACAUACCUGCAUACAAGUUGAGCACAAUUCAAUGGUUGUUAUAUUCUACUACAAGUUUUAUCACACUCUUGUUGUCUGUUGAAUCGCUUUGCAUCACCGACAGUUAUUCCUCUGCCUUGGUAACACUGCGCUGCCAACACUCCUACGCCAAACACUCAUUAUCUCACCUGUGCCGCGUAAUGUCUCGCUCCCCCAAAGUCAUACACGUAGAGACCCCUUAGAGUGUUCGAUAAUUGGUGCAGGGAGCGUACGAUAGUGCAGGAAGGUACAGGGUAUUUUGUGUAUGAUAAUUGUGGGUUUUUUUGGAGUUUGAUGUCAGAAGGUAAAGGAAAGUUAGCGUGUGGGAGGAAAGUAAAGGGUGUUCUAGAAUUUCAUGGUGUUUUUCUAGGCUGGGAAAGUAAAUGAAGGGAAAAUUGGGAAAAGUGCAGGAUAUUGGAUGUCAUUAAUUAAUUUAUUUUUAUUUAUUUAUUUUUUUUUAGGAUGGAGAAUGAAAAGUUAGAGGGAAAAGAAAGCGAAGGUAGAAGUACAAAAUGUAUCAGAAAUGUUUUGUUGAUAGUUAUUAUUUUCACAGUAAAAAAAGACAAUGAAAGCAAAACAAGGGUUAAAAGUACAAUAUAAAUUUACACUACUAAUCCUUGCGUUAAGUUUUGAAUAGACGAUGCAAGACAAAGAUAACAAGAUGAAACGAAAAGUACAAUGGAAGAUGCGGUGGCGAACAGUGAAUGGAAGUCACGAGACACGAUGCAGUGAAGUACAGUGUUGGCGCAGGAGUUGUGGGCGCGCGUGUGUGCAGCGGUGGCCAGAAGUUGUGCCCUGUGUGGUAGCCAUGAUGGACGGUAGUUAGGCCUGUAUUCUGAGACACCUUGCUCUCUCUCUCUCCAUCACUGCUUUCCAAAGGCUCCAGUUGAAGAUGUUCAUGUUUUCAAUUGUAUUUUCUUGGUUCUUUUGAUAGAUUGGCAAGAUUUCUACUUUAUUGAAAGGAGAAACUGUCUUGAAGACCCGGCUAGUUGUCUCUGUGGCCUUGGAAAAUUGUCGUAGUGAGAGAGUAAUGCGUUUCUGAGUACGGGCGUUAGACUGAAGGGCGUGAAGAGGUGCGAGGAGGGAGGAAGGAAGGAGGGAAGGAGAGGUAGAAGCAGGUGUAGAGUUGGUUACGUUUAUCAUGGCUACAACACCACACAACGUUUGGCUACCACUGUGCACGGUGGAGACCAGGCUUUCCUCUCCCCACACUAUUGUUGAUCAUUGUAAAGUAUAUGACAUAUAUGAAUAUUAUAUAUAUACAAAAAUAUAAAUAUAUAUAUAAAAUACAAAAUAUAUAUAGAGAGAUUAUUCGUGUAUAUUAUUUGUUAAAUGUUUCAAAUCUAUACUAACAAAUAAAAAUUUAAUAUACAUAGGAUGGAUUGUAUUAUUAUUGUUGUUGUUGUUGUUGUUGUUGGUGUGUGUGUGUGUGUGUGUGUGUGUGUGUGUGUGUGUGUGUGUGUGUGUGUGUGUGUGUGUGUGUGUGUUUUACUAUUUAUAUUGUUUUGUUUUGUUUGAUUUUAGUUUCAUUGUAAUAUCGUUUGUAGGCGUCGUAGGUUUGAUUUCUCUCUCUCUCUCUCUCUCUCUCUCUCUCUCUCUCUCUCUCUCUCUCUCUCUCUCUCUCUCUCUCUCUCUCUCUCUCUC